AUACGAAAGGGGCAAGCGUUGUUCGGAAUUACUGGGCGUAAAGCGCACGUAGGCGGCAUUGUAAGUUGGGGGUGAAAUCCCGGAGCUUAACUCCGGAACUGCCUCCAAAACUACAAAGCUAGAGGAUGUGAGAGGAUAGUGGAAUUCCGAGUGUAGAGGUGAAAUUCGUAGAUAUUCGGAAGAACACCAGUGGCGAAGGCGACUGUCUGGCACAUUUCUGACGCUGAGGUGCGAAAGCGUGGGGAGCAAACAGGAUUAGAAACCCCGGUAGUCC
This 274-nucleotide ribosomal RNA is filed under the name uncultured bacterium. RNAcentral describes it as "partial 16S ribosomal RNA". It matches the Rfam family "Bacterial small subunit ribosomal RNA", at positions 523 to 796 of the family's 1533-position model. The record is from RNAcentral.